This 406-nucleotide long non-coding RNA is filed under the name Vitis vinifera (wine grape). Its description in RNAcentral is "long non-coding RNA (VVIN_LNC006061)". Lineage: Eukaryota; Viridiplantae; Streptophyta; Magnoliopsida; Vitales; Vitaceae. The record is from RNAcentral.
CAUUAAAAGCAGGGUGAAUCGUCAAUCUGUUUUGGGAGCAAUCACAUCUGCACAGCAAAGAUUGAAGUUGUACAACAAGGUUCCUCCCAAUGGGCUUGUGCUGUACACUGGUACUAUUGUGACAGAAGAUGGAAAGGAGAAGAAGGUGACUAUUGACUUUGAGCCUUUUAGGCCUAUAAAUGCUUCCCUUUACCUAUGUGACAACAAAUUCCAUACAGAAGCAUUGAAUGAACUUUUGGAAUCUGAUGACAAGUUUGGUUUUAUUGUUAUGGAUGGAAAUGGUACCCUCUUUGGCACAUUAAGUGGCAAUACUCGUGAGGUGCUUCAUAAAUUUACUGUUGACCUCCCAAAGAAACAUGGAAGAGGCGGGCAAUCAGCACUACGGUUUGCUCGUCUUCGAAUGGAG